This 393-nucleotide ribosomal RNA is filed under the name uncultured bacterium. RNAcentral's name for it is "partial 16S ribosomal RNA". It matches the Rfam family "Bacterial small subunit ribosomal RNA", at positions 523 to 918 of the family's 1533-position model. The record is from RNAcentral.
AUACGGAGGAUCCGAGCGUUAUCCGGAUUUAUUGGGUUUAAAGGGAGCGUAGGCGGAGGAUCAAGUCAGCUGUGAAAUGUAGACGCUCAACGUCUGCACUGCAGUUGAAACUGGUCCCCUUGAGUGCGUAAGGGGCGGGCGGAAUUCGUCGUGUAGCGGUGAAAUGCUUAGAUAUGACGAAGAAAUCCGAUCGCGAAGGCAGCUGGCCGGGCCGCAACUGACGCUGAAGCUCGAAGGUGCGGGUAUCGAACAGGAUUAGAUACCCUGGUAGUCCGCACAGUAAACGAUGGAUACUCGCUGUCGGCGAUAUACGGUCGGUGGCCAAGCGAAAGCGUUAAGUAUCCCACCUGGGGAGUACGCCGGCAACGGUGAAACUCAAAGGAAUUGACGGGG